UACGUAGGGUGCGAGCGUUGUCCGGAAUUAUUGGGCGUAAAGAGCUCGUAGGCGGCUUGUCGCGUCGGAUGUGAAAGCCCGGGGCUUAACUCCGGGUCUGCAUUCGAUACGGGCAGGCUAGAGUUCGGUAGGGGGAGAUCGGAAUUCCUGGUGUAGCGGUGAAAUGCGCAGAUAUCAGGAGGAACACCGGUGGCGAAGGCGGAUCUCUGGGCCGAUACUGACGCUGAGGAGCGAAAAGCGUGGGGGAGCGAAACAGG
RNAcentral lists this ribosomal RNA (257 nucleotides) under uncultured bacterium. Its description in RNAcentral is "partial 16S ribosomal RNA". It matches the Rfam family "Bacterial small subunit ribosomal RNA", at positions 524 to 776 of the family's 1533-position model. The record is from RNAcentral.